Molecule: ribosomal RNA, 2223 nt
Filed under: Triticum aestivum (bread wheat)
Lineage: Eukaryota; Viridiplantae; Streptophyta; Magnoliopsida; Poales; Poaceae
Description: partial small subunit ribosomal RNA
Source: RNAcentral
AUGGAGGACGGGGACGGCGAGGCGGCGCGGGAGGCAAUCGCGGCGAGGAUGCGGGCCGGCGACUACACCGGCGCCAGGACGCUGCUGCUGGAGACGCUGCAGACCAACCCCGGCCUCGACGGCGCCGUCGAGAUGCUCGCCGUGCUCGAGGUCCUCUGCGCCGCCCCCGCCGGCCGCCCGCCGCACUGGUACCGGGCCCUCCAGGUCCUGCCCGGGGACGGCGCCGCCGCCAUCGAGGCGCGGCACAGGGCCCUCCUGGCUCAGCUGGAGCCCGUCCGGGACGCCCUCCCCGGCGCCGACCUGGCGCUCCGCCUCGUCGACGAAGCCUACAAGGUGCUGUCCGACCCGGCCAAGAGGGCCAGCUUCGACUCGAGCAACACGGCGGGGGGUUUGGUCAAGCAGAUGGCAGCAGGUGCGUUCAGCAGUGCUCACGCUGACUUGCGGCGUGACCCCAUUUCGCUGACCGAACGGAUGCAUGUCGAUGGAUCAGCAACUCCUCUCGGCACAAAUCCUGACAUGGAUAGAGCAAAAAGCUUGGACACGAAGCAUGUUCGGCAGAUUGACCAACAAUUUUUGGAUGCAGGAAAUUGUUCAAACGUGGCUAGUUCUUCCAAAACCAAGAGGACCGACCAUUGCUUUCAAGGUGAUGAUGGCGAGUUCGAGUUGCAUGAGGAAAACCAUGCAGACAAGAAGCUUAAGAGUGUAUGGGAGAAGGACGUGUAUUCUGUGUCCUCGUCGGAGGAAGAUCCCGACGGCUGCUUUGCUGAUCUCUCAGAUGCCAUGCAAGAUGACCCCUGCUCUAGUCAACAGUAUGACUAUCAUAACUUUGAGGAGGACAGGUUGAUACAGCAAUUUGCUACUGGGCAGAUCUGGGCAGGGUAUGACUGGGAGAAGUUUCCUCGCAGAUAUGCAAGGAUAAAUAAAGUUUUGACAGAUAAGAUGCAGUUAUAUGUAUCAUGGUUCAAACCAUGCCCGCAAUCUCAUGAAGAGAAGAACUGGUUAAGUGCAAGCUUGCCAUUCGUCUGUGGAACCUUCAUUGCGGAAGAUCGGCAAAUAUCGCUAUCUUCUAUAUGUAUGUUCUCCCACGAAAUAUCUCGUGAUACUCUAAAUCAGCAACUUGAAGUAUUUCCCCGGCAAGGAGAAGUAUGGGCCAUCUACAGUGACUGGGACAUUGGGUGGUGCAAUAAUCCUGAAAUGCGGAAGAAGAGUGCCUUUUCUGUUGUAGAAAUUCUUACCAGUUAUUCAGAAGAAUCAGGUUGUACAGUUGCGCCCUUGGUAAAGGUUGGUGGAUUUAGAAGCGUUUUCCAGAGGUACAUGAGGAGUGGGAGGGAGCAGGUAUUACAAGUCUGCAGUGACAAUCUGCUCAUGUUUUCUCACAGGAUCCCUUUAUUUAGGUUUACUCAUGAGGCUGGAACAGUCCUGGAGCUUGAACAUUCUAUUGUACCAGAAAAUCUGCGGCAUCAAAAUACAUUGGCAAGUGUGACUCCUCUGUCCCCACUUUCAGGUUUGGAUAGUGAUACAAAUGGCUUUCAUGAAGCUGCUAUGGCGCAAUUCUCCAGUGCUUCAACUAGCAAUUUAGGUUCAGGUAUUUCCCAGCAAGGAGUGAUGAACUACAAUAACAAGUUGUCACCUGAAGAUUUUAUGGAGGGGCAGAUCUGGGCUGUGUACGAUGCUCGGGAUCGGAUGCCUAGGUCUUAUGUCAGAAUAAUCCAUGUGGUUUCAGAUGCUACAAUUUUUGUGUUGAAGUUGGAACCACAUCCAAUGCUUAACGAAGAAAUACGGUGGGUCGAAGAUGGCUUACCGGUUGCUUGUGGGGUAUUUCGAGCUGGUACUGGAACUACUUACAAGGACAUAUCAGCUUUCUCUCAUCCUGUACAGUGUGACUGGAGUUCAAAGAAGUCUUUCUAUCGAAUCUUCCCGAAGAAAGGGGAAAUAUGGGCAAUGUACAAAAAUUGGAAGAUUACCUUAAAUAGCACUGAUAUUGACAAAUGUGAACCUCGCAUGGUUGAGAUCCUCUCAGAUUACACUGAUGAGAAUGGAGUUAAUGUGUGCAGCUUGACUCGCGUAAAAGGCUGUUUAUCAUUUUUCCAGAGAGCAUUACUGGAAGGUUUCCAUUUGACAAGGUUCCUGGUUGGGUAUAUCUUCUCCUGGACCCUGCUGUUCUUCUGGUUGCGUCUUGUUGAGAGCUCUUUGGACGGGGAAUCCCAUCAAUUACACUGCUAA